AAACUUUCAACAACGGAUCUCUUGGCUCUGGCAUCGAUGAAGAACGCAGCGAAACGCGAUAAGUAAUGUGAAUUGCAGAAUUUAGUGAAUCAUCGAAUCUUUGAACGCACAUUGCGCCCGCCAGUAUUCUGGCGGGCAUGCCUGUCCGAGCGUCAUUACAACC
RNAcentral lists this ribosomal RNA (163 nucleotides) under Fusarium virguliforme. Its description in RNAcentral is "5.8S ribosomal RNA". It matches the Rfam family "5.8S ribosomal RNA". Rfam says of the family: 5.8S ribosomal RNA (5.8S rRNA) is a component of the large subunit of the eukaryotic ribosome. It is transcribed by RNA polymerase I as part of the 45S precursor that also contains 18S and 28S rRNA. Functionally, it is thought that 5.8S rRNA may be involved in ribosome translocation. Lineage: Eukaryota; Fungi; Ascomycota; Sordariomycetes; Hypocreales; Nectriaceae. The record is from RNAcentral.